This 531-nucleotide long non-coding RNA is filed under the name Vitis vinifera (wine grape). RNAcentral's name for it is "long non-coding RNA (VVIN_LNC005912)". The record is from RNAcentral. Lineage: Eukaryota; Viridiplantae; Streptophyta; Magnoliopsida; Vitales; Vitaceae.
UGUUCCGAUGAGCCAAUGUUUAGAGGACGAGUGGUUUGCUUGGUGACUUGCUUUGUGUGAGUGCAUUAUAUCGAUGAUGGGGCCCUUGUACAAAGUCAUGAGCAAUGCUCCAGAAAAGGUCACCAGGGUUCCAAUGAUCUUGGCUUGAGUACGUGUCUCCUUAAUUUUUAUGUGCUCUAAUCUGAUCAUGACAUAAUUCCAUAUGCAUUAGAGUCUCCAUGCAGAAGAGGAAGAUGCAUUGCAAAACGCAUUAGCAAAUGCUAUAUUUAUAUAGUUUUGUGCAUAUAAGUACAAGGCAGUACAUGAUCGCAGUGGUCCUUACCGAAAAAUAAUCGCCAUAACAAAAGUAACAGCCGGAACAGCAUUCAUAAUGGCGGAUGCAUAUGAGGCUGAUGUGUAUUGCAUUCCCAAGUAGGAUAAGUUCUGAUCAACAAUUGGCCUGUUAACAAUCAAGAAUAAUUAGUUCUUGUUUUGGUUCAGGUAAUCUUCAACUUUGAGGACAUUUUUGAACUAGUAUUAUAUAUGUAUUUG